GAUUCCUGCUCGACGCCCGUUUGUGAGCAGCUCCUUUCGACCAGAAUUGGAUUUGGAGAGCACAUGAAAUAUCUAGGUUUUUCAUUGAAAUUCUUCAGGAAUAUAGCUGGCUGGAGAGUGGAUUGAAGUGUCGAAGCAUGUUGCCAUUGUUUAGGGAGUAAUGGAGGAGGUUAAAAUUGGCACCAAGCUGUCGUGCUUAGCAUGUGGAUGACAUUUGACAGGGGAGGGUUUGUGAUGCACGCACGUAAGCACGUUGCUCUUGAGAGAUCAAUCGGCCACGGACAGGACGACCAAACGUUCAUCGUGAAGACCUAGCAGCUUGGACGGCUCGAUCCUGAAUUCCUGACCAUCCACGGAGCAGUUCUAGAACAGCUGACGGGAGGAGAGAGCGAGUUUCCUCUUCCCUUUUGGGUGUUUUCAUGAUUUCAUCAGACAAGACAGAAAACAUCAUGAAAUAAAGCUUCUUUCUCAAUGGCGCACAUAGUAGGUUAGCAGAAGCAGUACUAAAAGCUUCUUUCGGGCAUGUCGCUGUAACCAAACCUGCCCAGUGUGCUCGCCGGAGAAGAAGAACCGAGCAACCUUUUCUUUUCCCCACCGGUUCGCCAGACGAGAUGCAAAUGCGAUGCGAAAUGGAAGAAGCGAACAAAGCGCCAAAGCAGGGUCGAGAACGACGCACGGGAAUCACAUGAAAAGACGGACGGCAUCUGCCGUUUUUUUUCUCUUCGCGGCGCGGCGCGAGACGACGACGAGAGAGGGAGCACGCACGGCGGCUCGCGCCUCCAUCGAGCGUUUUCCACGGCCACCGCGCCCUAACGAGCUGCUCGCCUCCUUCCUAUGGGCGGUUGCUUGCGAUCGACCCGUCCGCCCAGGCGGCCGGGCGGGGCAGGUCGCGGGGCGUCGCUGUCGGCGGUGACCCCUGCGUGGCGUGGCUGCGGCCCGCGGGGUUCUGGAAGACGGCAACGUCUCGCUGCUUCGUCAGAGGAGGGGAAGCCUUUCGGUGGCCAGUGCGCGCAACGCAACAGCUCUCGACGCUUCUGGGGCGCCGUUUUCGGCUUGGAGAAUUUGCUUGCUGGCUGCUGCAGCUGCAGUCAGGGAAGGAAAUUCAGACGCAAACAGCAGACGGUAUGGGCUCAUUUCCUUUGUCUGACGAGAUAUGGCGCAGACACCAGAGCUCCUUGACGCGCACAUCGACGAACGGCACAGGUCGUACCUG
Molecule: long non-coding RNA, 1213 nt
Organism: Panicum hallii
Lineage: Eukaryota; Viridiplantae; Streptophyta; Magnoliopsida; Poales; Poaceae
Exons: 3
Source: RefSeq, a predicted model, not a curated record